AUGAACACCUACUUUGUUUGAUAUCCUGCCAACUAUCUAUGAUUUCACACUGCUUUGUCUUUGUUAAUAUAACGCCUCCUGUUAUUUCCUUCUCCAGAGAUUUAUGCUACUUAACUGUUCUGUUUGUUUAUAAAUUAUUUUUUUUAAUGUUUGAAGCACCGAUCGUGUGCUCGUGUGAUCUGCACUGUAUAAGAAGUUAUCAUCGUCGUCGUCUUCUUCUAGUAAGAGGAUCUGUUGUUGCGCCAGAUGACUGUUAUACCCUGUGCACAUUGUGUGCAUUGUAUGCACGAACAAAGACGGUCAGGGGUGGAUGAGCUGCAGCUGCAGAAGUGUGUGUCACGAGACUGCGCAUUCGAUCUGCAGCGACUGGGUUCCAAUGUCACCAUGGUCUGCACAGCGCAACGCAGCGCUGCAGCACUUGGGUCACAAGUGACGACGAUGGUGUAUAUAACACAACAAGCUCCAGCACUUGCCUGUGACUUCAGCAUACAAUGGUAAGUACAGUAGCAGGAGACACAAGCCAUUGGUAGCUUGGCGUGGGACACAAAAGAUCCCGCUCUGCUUCUUGAAAGUACUGCACUGUUCCCUUCAAGUGCCGGACUGUCUCCUACAAGUACUUCCCCGUUCCCUGCAAAUUCCAUGAUGUCCCCUUCAAGUGUUGCACUGACACGCAGGAAGGUUCUUUUUUCUGUACGCCCCCACUGCUUUUUCUCCAUCACGGUGAAUAGGACAAGUGCUUGAGUUUCCUGCAAACACAAAUGUGACCCGUACUCCUACAAGUGCUGCUGUAAUCCUGCUAACACCCAUGUGAUCCUGUGAUCCUUGUGAACACUGCAGUGAUCUGACUGGUCUUGUGUCACAAGCGCAGCGUGCAGUGUAUACUAACUCUAGCGACGCUCGGGUCUGAGCAAACACUGCUGUUCCCUGACAAAAGUGGUUUCAGCCCUCAGUCCCAGCGUACUGCAGCAUGGACUGCAUUGGGAUGGAUACUUAAAUCUUCAUCUCCUUCCCUUACACUCGGGUUCUGUUCUGUUUAUGAGAAGAGCAGCAGGCAAGUUAAUCUCUGCCAAAUUUAGGAUGCUGAAUUGUUACCAGAUGAUUCGGCGAUCCGGUCUCUAUGAAGAUCCGUGUGUCGCAGAGCAUGAACAAGUGCUCUAGUGCUUACACAAGCACUGGGCCUAGUGCAGAUGCUGGUAGGGUUGAUGGGAUACAAUGUAGUCUUCACUUGCGACCUCAUUCUUCUGCACUCACCUAGGGAGGGUUUCAUUUUCACUGUAUUACUAGCAAGUAAAUUUCAGCAGCUGUGUGCCUAAAGUUUAAAUGUGUGGGUGAUCUGUGGUAUUAUUACCCCCCCCACACACACACUCACUGCACACUUAUUUAAACAGCUACAAUUCAUUUUUUCAUUACUGUCAUCUUUGUGUCCAUAGAUAUUUUCCUCUUUUAAUACCUGACUUUCGCUAGUCUUGUUGCUACAGGGUGGGGUAUACUGGUGAUGCACAUGUGAUGUCACACCACUCUAUUACCUUGUAAAAAAACUGGAAAAAACCCACAAUGGAGAACUAUUGGAACUAUUUUAAAGUUCAAACAGUUCCUUGUGGUGGCAGAUAUGACUAAAGAUAGUUUUUGUUGUUUAAAGCACUAGUAACUAUACAGUACACACACUUUAUGUAAUUACUUUCCUCGAUUCCAAAAAUAUUUAUUAGCUGCAAAAUUUAGUUGUAAGCUUGCUAAAUAACAAAGGACAGUAUGUCAAUGCACCAAUAAAUUAGAUUUACAUUCUAAGAAAAGAAUUUUAAUCAGAUUACAAGAAUUAAGUUAGUGUAAGGUUUCCUGUGUCAAUAUGCUGCCCAAGAUAAAUAUAAUCUGCUGGAAGUGUGAUGCAUAUCAGCUCUUCUGGUUUUUCCACUCCAUGAACACCCACAGAAACAUAUUCCACUCUUUUCUUUUAACAAAAAUAAACCUUACAAAUUAAAGCUAAUGUGCUGUUUAUUUUUAUUUUCAGGGAUCUAUGUUUGUCUUUUAUAAACCAGCACUGAUUAUGAGAAUGAUACAUGAAAAGGCUUCUGUCAGCUAAAAUCCACAGAAAAGAAAAAAAUCAUUUAACUUUUACUACUGCAUGGAUUUACAGGAAAGAACUUAAACUGCAGAAUUCUUUUUUGGGGGAGUAAUUCAUACAACAGCAACAUCACCUGGCUGCUUAUAUACCACAAAAACAAAAUACUCCAUCUUACAUUUGUGUGCGUUGCAAUAACUGCUGUAUCUUGUAUAUGCUUGCCUACUGAUUAGUGCCUACUCCAUAAAUUUUCAUACUAUAGCUUUGGUUUCUUUCACCUGACAAAAUAUUUUCAUUCAAUCAUAUUUCAAGCAAAUGAUAGAUUGUUUAUGGGACACAACUUUUUUAAAAUGUAAAAAAUUUCAAUUGCAGCAAAAAUACGACACAAAUCUGUCACAUAAACAGAACACAAAAUGGGAACCUUCUAGUGGCAUAGGAAGUAGGGGGGCAAAAAGGGUGGCUGCCAGCUCAAAAAAAA
Pomacea canaliculata is the source of this 2534-nucleotide long non-coding RNA. RefSeq lists it as uncharacterized. Lineage: Eukaryota; Metazoa; Mollusca; Gastropoda; Architaenioglossa; Ampullariidae. The record is from RefSeq and is a predicted model, not a curated record. The transcript is spliced from 2 exons.